This 495-nucleotide ribosomal RNA is filed under the name uncultured bacterium. RNAcentral describes it as "partial 16S ribosomal RNA". It matches the Rfam family "Bacterial small subunit ribosomal RNA", at positions 28 to 507 of the family's 1533-position model. The record is from RNAcentral.
GACGAACGCUGGCGGCGUGCCUAAUACAUGCAAGUAGAACGCUGAAGGAGGAGCUUGCUUCUCUGGAUGAGUUGCGAACGGGUGAGUAACGCGUAGGUAACCUGCCUGGUAGCGGGGGAUAACUAUUGGAAACGAUAGCUAAUACCGCAUAAUAGUAGAUGUUGCAUGACAUUUGCUUAAAAGGUGCAAUUGCAUCACUACCAGAUGGACCUGCGUUGUAUUAGCUAGUUGGUGGGGUAACGGCUCACCAAGGCGACGAUACAUAGCCGACCUGAGAGGGGGAUCGGCCACACUGGGACUGAGACACGGCCCAGACGCAUACGGGAGGGAGCAGGAGGGAAUCUUCAGCAAGGGACGGAAGUCUGACCGAGAAACGCCGCGGGAGGGAAGAAGGAUGUCGGAUCGUAAAGCUCGGUUGUAAGAGAAGAACGAGUGUGAGAGUGGAAAGUUCACACUGUGACGGUAUCUUACCAGAAAGGGACGGCUAACUACGUG